GUCUGGGAAACUGCCUGAUGGAGGGGGAUAACUACUGGAAACGGUAGCUAAUACCGCAAAUGUCGCAAGACCAAAGAGGGGGACCUUCGGGCCUCUUGCCAUCAGAUGUGCCCAGAUGGGAUUAGCUAGUAGGUGGGGUAAUGGCUCACCUAGGCGACGAUCCCUAGCUGGUCUGAGAGGAUGACCAGCCACACUGGAACUGAGACACGGUCCAGACUCCUACGGGAGGCAGCAGUGGGGAAUAUUGCACAAUGGGCGCAAGCCUGAUGCAGCCAUGCCGCGUGUAUAAAGAAGGCCUUCGGGUUGUAAAGUACUUUCAGCGAGGAGGAAGGCAUUAAGGUUAAUAACCUUGGUGAUUGACGUUACUCGCAGAAGAAGCACCGGCUAACUCCGUGCCAGCAGCCGCGGUAAUACGGAGGGUGCAAGCGUUAAUCGGAAUUACUGGGCGUAAAGCGCACGCAGGCGGUCUGUCAAGUCGGAUGUGAAAUCCCCGGGCUCAACCUGGGAACUGCAUUCGAAACUGGCAGGCUAGAGUCUUGUAGAGGGGGGUAGAAUUCCAGGUGUAGCGGUGAAAUGCGUAGAGAUCUGGAGGAAUACCGGUGGCGAAGGCGGCCCCCUGGACAAAGACUGACGCUCAGGUGCGAAAGCGUGGGGAGCAAACAGGAUUAGAUACCCUGGUAGUCCACGCCGUAAACGAUGUCGACUUGGAGGCUGUUCCCUUGAGGAGUGGCUUCCGGAGCUAACGCGUUAAGUCGACCGCCUGGGGAGUACGGCCGCAAGGUUAAAACUCAAAUGAAUUGACGGGGGCCCGCACAAGCGGUGGAGCAUGUGGUUUAAUUCGAUGCAACGCGAAGAACCUUACCUACUCUUGACAUCCACGGAACUUAGCAGAGAUGCUUUGGUGCCUUCGGGAACCGUGAGACAGGUGCUGCAUGGCUGUCGUCAGCUCGUGUUGUGAAAUGUUGGGGUUAAGUCCCGCAACGAGCGCAACCCUUAUCCUUUGUUGCCAGCGGUUCCGGCCGGGAACUCAAAGGAGACUGCCAGUGAUAAACUGGGAGGAAGGUGGGGGAUGACGUCAAGUCAUCAUGGGCCCUUACGAAUAAGGGCU
RNAcentral lists this ribosomal RNA (1108 nucleotides) under Lelliottia amnigena. RNAcentral describes it as "bacterial SSU rRNA". It matches the Rfam family "Bacterial small subunit ribosomal RNA", at positions 115 to 1215 of the family's 1533-position model. Lineage: Bacteria; Pseudomonadati; Pseudomonadota; Gammaproteobacteria; Enterobacterales; Enterobacteriaceae. The record is from RNAcentral.